AUACGUAGGUGGCAAGCGUUGUCCGGAUUUAUUGGGCGUAAAGCGAGCGCAGGCGGUUCUUUAAGUCUGAUGUGAAAGCCCCCGGCUCAACCGGGGAGGGUCAUUGGAAACUGGGGAACUUGAGUGCAGAAGAGGAGAGUGGAAUUCCAUGUGUAGCGGUGAAAUGCGUAGAUAUAUGGAGGAACACCAGUGGCGAAGGCGGCUCUCUGGUCUGUAACUGACGCUGAGACACGAAAGCGUGGGGAGC
RNAcentral lists this ribosomal RNA (247 nucleotides) under uncultured bacterium. RNAcentral describes it as "partial 16S ribosomal RNA". It matches the Rfam family "Bacterial small subunit ribosomal RNA", at positions 523 to 769 of the family's 1533-position model. The record is from RNAcentral.